UNUAAGAAGUGUCCACAUCACUAUUUGUGC
RNAcentral lists this non-coding RNA (30 nucleotides) under Rattus norvegicus (Norway rat). Lineage: Eukaryota; Metazoa; Chordata; Mammalia; Rodentia; Muridae. The record is from RNAcentral.